GACGAACGCUGGCGGCGUGCCUAAUACAUGCAAGUCGUGCGGACCUUUUAAAAGCUUGCUUUUAAAAGGUUAGCGGCGGACGGGUGAGUAACACGUGGGCAACCUGCCUGUAAGACUGGGAUAACGCCGGGAAACCGGGGCUAAUACCAGAUCGUUUUUUCCUCCGCAUGGAGGAAAAAGGAAAGGCGGCUUCGGCUGCCACUUACAGAUGGGCCCGCGGCGCAUUAGCUAGUUGGCGGGGUAACGGCCCACCAAGGCAACGAGGCGUAGCCGAACUGGGAGGGUGAGCGGCCACAUUGGGACCGAGACACGGCCCAAACGGCCACGGGAGGCAGCAGUAGGGAAUCUUCCGGAAUGGACGAAAGUCUGACGGAGCAACGCCGCGGGAGUGAAGAAGGCCUUCGGGUCGUAAAACUCUGUUGCCGGGGAAGAACAAGUGCCGUUCGAACAGGGCGGCGCCUUGACGGUACCCGGCCAGAAAGCCACGGCUAACUACGUG
This 499-nucleotide ribosomal RNA is filed under the name uncultured bacterium. RNAcentral's name for it is "partial 16S ribosomal RNA". It matches the Rfam family "Bacterial small subunit ribosomal RNA", at positions 28 to 507 of the family's 1533-position model. The record is from RNAcentral.